GACGAACGCUGGCGGCGUACCUAAUACAUGCAAGUUGAGCGCUGAAGGUUGGUACUUGUACCAACUGGAUGAGCAGCGAACGGGUGAGUAACGCGUGGGGAAUCUGCCUUUGAGCGGGGGACAACAUUUGGAAACGAAUGCUAAUACCGCAUAAAAACUUUAAACACAAGUUUUAAGUUUGAAAGAUGCAAUUGCAUCACUCAAAGAUGAUCCCGCGUUGUAUUAGCUAGUUGGUGAGGUAAAGGCUCACCAAGGCGAUGAUACAUAGCCGACCUGAGAGGGUGAUCGGCCACAUUGGGACUGAGACACGGCCCAAACUCCUACGGGAGGCAGCAGUAGGGAAUCUUCGGCAAUGGACGAAAGUCUGACCGAGCAACGCCGCGUGAGGGAAGAAGGGUUUCGGAUCGUAAAACUCUGUUGGUAGAGAAGAACGUUGGUGAGAGUGGAAAGCUCAUCAAGUGACGGUAACUACCCAGAAAGGGACGGCUAACUACGUG
RNAcentral lists this ribosomal RNA (497 nucleotides) under uncultured bacterium. RNAcentral describes it as "partial 16S ribosomal RNA". It matches the Rfam family "Bacterial small subunit ribosomal RNA", at positions 28 to 507 of the family's 1533-position model. The record is from RNAcentral.